AACGAACGCUGGCGGCAGGCUUAACACAUGCAAGUCGAACGCAUCCUUCGGGGUGAGUGGCAGACGGGUGAGUAACGGGUGGGAACGCGCCCUUCAGUUCGGGAUAACCCAGGGAAACUUUGGCUAAUACCGGAUACGUGCGAGAGCAGAAAGAUUUAUCGCUGAAGGAUCGGUCCGCGUCUAAUUAGCUAGUUGGUGGGGUACUGGCCCACCAAGACGACGAUCAGUAGCUGGUCUGAGAGGAUGAUCAGCCACAUUGGCACUGAUCCACGGCCCAAACUCCUACGGGGGGCAGCAGUGGGGAAUAUUGGACAAUGGGCGCAAGCCUGACCCAGCAAUCCCGCGUGAGGGAUGACGGCCUUAGGAUUGUAAAGCUCUUUCGUACGGGCCGAUAAUGCCGGUACCGGAAGAAGCAGCCCCGGCUACCUUCGUGCCAGCAGCCGCGGUAA
Molecule: ribosomal RNA, 449 nt
Filed under: uncultured bacterium
Lineage: Bacteria
Description: partial 16S ribosomal RNA
Rfam family: Bacterial small subunit ribosomal RNA
Source: RNAcentral